CACGAAUGGCGUAAUGAUGGCCAGGCUGUCUCCACCCGAGACUCAGUGAAAUUGAACUCGCUGUGAAGAUGCAGUGUACCCGCGGCAAGACGGAAAGACCCCGUGAACCUUUACUAUAGCUUGACACUGAACAUUGAGCCUUGAUGUGUAGGAUAGGUGGGAGGCUUUGAAGCGUGGACGCCAGUCUGCGUGGAGCCGACCUUGAAAUACCACCCUUUAAUGUUUGAUGUUCUAACGUGGACCCGUAAUCCGGGUUGCGGACAGUGUCUGGUGGGUAGUUUGACUGGGGCGGUCUCCUCCUAAAGAGUAACGGAGGAGCACGAAGGUUGGCUAAUCCUGGUCGGACAUCAGGAGGUUAGUGCAAUGGCAUAAGCCAGCUUGACUGCGAGCGUGACGGCGCGAGCAGGUGCGAAAGCAGGUCAUAGUGAUCCGGUGGUUCUGAAUGGAAGGGCCAUCGCUCAACGGAUAAAAGGUACUCCGGGGAUAACAGGCUGAUACCGCCCAAGAGUUCAUAUCGACGGCGGUGUUUGGCACCUCGAUGUCGGCUCAUCACAUCCUGGGGCUGAAGUAGGUCCCAAGGGUAUGGCUGUUCGCCAUUUAAAGUGGUACGCGAGCUGGGUUUAGAACGUCGUGAGACAGUUCGGUCCCUAUCUGCCGUGGGCGCUGGAGAACUGAGGGGGGCUGCUCCUAGUACGAGAGGACCGGAGUGGACGCAUCACUGGUGUUCGGGUUGUCAUGCCAAUGGCACUGCCCGGUAGCUAAAUGCGGAAGAGAUAAGUGCUGAAAGCAUCUAAGCACGAAACUUGCCCCGAGAUGAGUUCUCCCUGAGACUUUAGGUCUCCUGAAGGAACGUUGAAGACGACGACGUUGAUAGGCCGGGUGUGUAAGCGCAGCGAUGCGUUGAGCUAACCGGUACUAAUGAACCGUGAGGCUUAACCUUACAACGCCGAAG
Molecule: ribosomal RNA, 952 nt
Filed under: Salmonella enterica
Lineage: Bacteria; Pseudomonadati; Pseudomonadota; Gammaproteobacteria; Enterobacterales; Enterobacteriaceae
Description: partial 23S ribosomal RNA
Rfam family: Bacterial large subunit ribosomal RNA
Source: RNAcentral